This 492-nucleotide ribosomal RNA is filed under the name uncultured bacterium. RNAcentral describes it as "partial 16S ribosomal RNA". It matches the Rfam family "Bacterial small subunit ribosomal RNA", at positions 29 to 507 of the family's 1533-position model. The record is from RNAcentral.
AGUGAACGCUGGCGGUAGGCCUAACACAUGCAAGUCGAACGGCAGCACAGUAAGAGCUUGCUCUUACGGGUGGCGAGUGGCGGACGGGUGAGGAAUACAUCGGAAUCUACUUUUUCGUGGGGGAUAACGUAGGGAAACUUACGCUAAUACCGCAUACGACCUACGGGUGAAAGCAGGGGAUCUUCGGACCUUGCGCGAUUGAAUGAGCCGAUGUCGGAUUAGCUAGUUGGCGGGGUAAAGGCCCACCAAGGCGACGAUCCGUAGCUGGUCUGAGAGGAUGAUCAGCCACACUUGAACUGAGACACGGUCCAGACUCCUACGGGAGGCAGCAGUGGGGAGUAUUGGACAAUGGGCGCAAGCCUGAUCCAGCCAUACCGCGUGGGUGAAGAAGGCCUUCGGGUUGUAAAGCCCUUUUGUUGGGAAAGAAAAGCAGCAGGUUAAUACCCCGCUGUUCUGACGGUACCCAAAGAAUAAGCACCGGCUAACUUCGUG